UGUGAGAAGGUUGACUAAGCUAGAGAGAAGUGGCCUCCCCCCCCCCCCCCCCCCCGCAACGGUAUCCACCUGCCUUCAACAAAGUAUUCAGUGGUGGGAGUGGAGGUUAUACACUGGCUCAGCAGCAGCCUUCCAAUCCCAGUGCUCAUGUAGCUAUGGCUACUGUUGAGUGUCCAGUCAACCACGAGCAGGGGCCAGCACUAAACUGUGCUAUAGCACCAGCUUCCAUCAUAGAAGGGCAGCUUUGACUCUUACUGGAAUGCACACUGGAUUUUCUUCACCCUCCUUGCAUGACUGAUGCUCCUGCUAAAACUACCACCUGAACGCUUGCAGAGUGCCCUGUCCCCUGUCAAGAUAUUCCACUCAACAUUGCUUCUGACCAAAACACCCACUUCACAGCCAAAGACAUCGUCCAGUGAGCCCAUCCUCACAGAAUUCUCAUGUCUCACCAUGUUCCUCGCUGUCCCAAGGGCUGUCUUAAUAGAACUGCACACCGCCCCUUUGAUGACUCCAUUACAGGGCCACCUAGUCCCUACAGGGCUAAAACAAGGUUCUCCAGAAAAGCUGCAUUUGCUCUGGAUCAACAUGGGGACACUAUGGUUUCUGCUAUCGAGACUCCUCCCAUGCAGGAGUGGAAGGAUGAAGUGGCAGUGGCACCACUGUGACCUCCCGGAAAACUGCCUUCUGUCCAGCCAUGGCAGUACAUGCCUGUUAAUCACAGCACAUGGAGGGGGAGGGUCAGGACUCGGUCAGCUACGUGGAUAUGUCAGCCAGUGCUACAAGAUCCUGUAUCACGGAAGAACAAGGAGCCGGAGAGGCGGCC
RNAcentral lists this long non-coding RNA (823 nucleotides) under Rattus norvegicus (Norway rat). RNAcentral's name for it is "long non-coding RNA NONRATT024218". Lineage: Eukaryota; Metazoa; Chordata; Mammalia; Rodentia; Muridae. The record is from RNAcentral.